Molecule: ribosomal RNA, 428 nt
Filed under: uncultured archaeon
Lineage: Archaea
Description: bacterial SSU rRNA
Rfam family: Archaeal small subunit ribosomal RNA
Source: RNAcentral
AACCAGCACCUCAAGUGGUCAGGAUGAUUAUUGGGCCUAAAGCAUCCGUAGCCUGCUUUGUAAGUUUUCGGUUAAAUCCAUACGCUCAACGUAUGGGCUGCCGGGAAUACUGCAAAGCUAGGGAGUGGGAGAGGUAGACGGUACUCGGUAGGAAGGGGUAAAAUCCUUUGAUCUAUUGAUGACCACCUGUGGCGAAGGCGGUCUACCAGAACACGUCCGACGGUGAGGGAUGAAAGCUGGGGGAGCAAACCGGAUUAGAUACCCGGGUAGUCCCAGCUGUAAACUAUGCAAACUCAGUGAUGCAUUGGCUUGAUGCCAAUGCAGUGCUGCAGGGAAGCCGUUAAGUUUGCCGCCUGGGAAGUACGUACGCAAGUAUGAAACUUAAAGGAAUUGGCGGGGAGCACCACAAGGGGUGAAGCCUGCGGUUC